UACGUAGGGUGCGAGCGUUGUCCGGAAUUAUUGGGCGUAAAGAGCUCGUAGGUGGCCUGUCGCGUCGGCUGUGAAAACUCGGGGCUCAACUCCGAGCUUGCAGUCGAUACGGGCAGGCUAGAGUUCGGCAGGGGAGACUGGAAUUCCUGGUGUAGCGGUGAAAUGCGCAGAUAUCAGGAGGAACACCGGUGGCGAAGGCGGGUCUCUGGGCCGAUACUGACACUGAGGAGCGAAAGCGUGGGGAGCGAACAGG
Molecule: ribosomal RNA, 253 nt
Filed under: uncultured bacterium
Lineage: Bacteria
Description: partial 16S ribosomal RNA
Rfam family: Bacterial small subunit ribosomal RNA
Source: RNAcentral